Molecule: long non-coding RNA, 206 nt
Filed under: Carica papaya (papaya)
Lineage: Eukaryota; Viridiplantae; Streptophyta; Magnoliopsida; Brassicales; Caricaceae
Description: long non-coding RNA (CPAP_LNC004900)
Source: RNAcentral
ACCCAAUAUCCAAUUAAACAAAUAACUGGUCGUCCUCAUACCCCGUCUGGUAAUAGGAACAAAACAUUCCACCACCUCGAUACCCCAUUCGGUAUGAGGGUGAACUAUAUCUCCCAAACCUUACUAGUAAGGGACUUCCUAUCCUCGUCCGACAGAGAUAAUGUUCACGGUAGGGUUCCCUAUGUCUCGAACCCGUCCGCCCUUUC